AUUUUAACCUUGGCAAACAUUUCUGGUUAUCUCCGUUAGUAUUGUGAAAAUAUUGGACUUAAUUUUGAGAUAGUAAUUUUAACUUGCAGUUGGCUGCUCAGAAAUAUUUUUUAUAUACUCUGUCAUGUGUCUAUAAUCUUGCUCAUGUAUGCCAUUAUCAGUUCUGGACAUGGGACAGCUUUUUUCUGCAUAUUUCCCUUUACUCAAUGAGAAAAACCUGUUUUCUUCAUCCACUGAUUUCCCAACCCUUCUGACUAUGCUAUACACUCCUUUCUGGGUAAUCUACAGGCUUCCUUUUCAUGUUCACUGAGUUUCAAGACAUCCCGUGAGUGUUUUUUACUCUCUUGCUAAGCCUCUGACUCAUAGUCUACAUGAUUGAUGAGAUACUAUUACACCCAAUGCUCAAGUGGCUUUGAUGAACUUGCAGAAAAAUUUGUUUACAAGUUUUACUUUAGCAAUGGUUUAAAAAAGACUUUGGAUAGAUGUCCACGUACUAAAGCAAAAGGGAGGAGAAACUUCCUUGAAUUAUUCGCCCAACUAAGAGAUGUCGCAUCAAGGCCUCUCGAGCCCCCAAGAGGCAGUUAUUCUUCAUUGGCUUCUUUGAUGAUAUCUUGGAGUAAUGCAUUUGGAAGACUUCUCGACCUAUAAUGUAAUGAUAUGAAGAUUCAGAGAAAGCCAUAAGCAGUCCCUGGGAGUCUACUAAUUGCCAACUCUGAAAUUCAUUAAGCCCUGAUUACAAAGAGAAGGAAUCCAAGGGGAAAAUUUAUGUCCAUGUGGAACACCUCUCGAACAAGACUAAAAGGCCUGAAUCCCCCCAACCAAAUUUAUAAGCCUAUAAACCUUAGUGUAAAUGGGCCUAUAAGUCCUAAAUUUUUAUGUGUAACUUUUAUUGAUAGGUAGCAAUACAUAUUCUACUUUUUAAAUUGAAAUACAAUUUCUGAAAAUUAAGCAAAUUGAAUUGCUAUGGUUUUCUCCUAGUGACCGGAUACACUGGAACUGCAGAGUGGCUUCAUAGAGAAUCAGUAUUUGUCAUCUUGGUCAUGGGAUCUGGAUAUGGGUCGACCUUGAAAUCUUGGGACCAGUAAUAUGGUUAACAAGUGGUUUGGCUUAAAUGCCCAUGAGGAUGAGGUUCUGUACUUCCCUCUUUUUGCAACAGGAUUUUCUGGUUCAUUUUGCACUUCAUAUGCACAUGAUUGAUCAUUUGCCCAUAGAUACCUGAAUGUGUUUACAUAGUUGUCCUCUCAAUUUACAUUCAUUACCACUCAGCUUUUACAAUUUUAACUUGGCAUCUAAAUUCUAUAUUAUUGCAACUAGCAGGCUUCCUGUUUUAAUGAGAAUUGGAGACAGACGCUCAUUCAGUGCAGAUGUGAGUCAGUUACCCGUAAUAACUGACCCUGAUAUCUUGCCCCCAUUCAAGGAUUUAAUGGCUGCAAGUGGGACGAGCUUCCCGAUGCUGUUGUCCAUGAUGCCAAGAAAGCACUUUCAAAAUCGACUGAUGACACGGCUGAUCAGGAUGCCUUGGCAAAUGUUUUUCGAGCUGCGGAGGCUGUUGAGCAGUUUGGUAGAGUCCUUGUAUCUCUGAGAAUGGAACUCGAUGAUGAAACUGGAAUUAGUGGCGAGGCUGUGUGUCCCUUGUCAAAUGAGCAUCAAAAGCUAGGCAUGCAGCAUAUAAGCGCUACGUGGCAUAUUUAGACUCUUUUGGGCCUGAUGAGACAUAUCUGAGAAAGAAGGUCGAGACAGAGCUGGGGACAAAGAUGAUACUCUAAAGAUUCGAUGUGGUGGCCUUGAUUCUGAAAGGGGGACGAUCACGGUUCUUGGGACAUCAGGACUUUCAGGAUCCUACAUUGAGCAAAGAGCUUGACUGUAUGGACAUACAUUCAGCGGUGGGCAUGCCUCUUUUCCUUGGGAAGAUAUCCUCUGCACCCUUUGUUGAGCAUCCAAAACUGCAGUGCUGUGUCCCUUGUCAAAUGAGCAUCAAAAGCUAUGCAUGCAGCAUAUAAGCGCUACGUGGCAUAUUUGGACUCUUUUGGGCCUGAUGAGACAUAUCUGAGAAAGAAGGUCGAGACAGAGCUGGGGACAAAGAUGAUGCAUCUAAAGAUGCGAUGUGGUGGCCUUGAUUCUGAAUGGGGGACGAUCACGGUUCUUGGGACGUCAGGACUUUCGGGAUCCUACUUUGAGCAAAGAGCUUGACUGUAUGGACAUACAUUCAGCGGUGGGCAUGCCUCUUUUCCUUGGGAAGAUAUCCUCUGCACCCUUUGUUGAGCAUCCAAAACUGCAGUGUAAUGCUUAGUUAAGAAGGUUGUUGAAACCAGAAAUCAUGUUUCUGAAUUACUACUUCAAUCUAAGGGAAAUUUGAGUGCCCUAUGAGCUGCUUUCACUUGAAUGAGAAACUAGCUUUUGUAUCUUGGCAGAGUAUGAAUAAUGAAUCACAAUUUUCUGGCAACCUUUUA
Non-coding RNA from Amborella trichopoda, 2450 nucleotides. NCBI's taxonomy places the organism in Eukaryota, Viridiplantae, Streptophyta, Magnoliopsida, Amborellales, Amborellaceae. The record is from RefSeq and is a predicted model, not a curated record.